AUCAUUACAAUGCAAUAAGAAGCAAAUAUAGUACCAAGUAAAAGACAUCCUUUUAUUAUAUAAGUCAACAAAAUAUUGUGACCAUGAAAUCCUUGUCUAGCUUAAUGAUUGUUGUUAUGGUUGCCAUGACAUUGAUGCUUUCAGUUGGAGUUAAUAUGUCCCAAGCUACUAGGAUUCUUCAUCAUCACCCAAAUCCUACUCCUUUUUCUUCUUUUUCUUCAUCUUCAGUCCCACAAGUGUUAUCUUCAUCAAAUAGAGUUUCAAAGAAAGAAGAGGCUAAAUCAUCAAAGUCAGUAGUAGCAGCUAGCCUUAGAAGGAUUCCACCAAGCAGACCAAAUCCUACUCAGAACAAGUUGAAGCCUAAGAUUAGGGGCUAAUCCGAGCUUGAAGAACUGAGAUGAAGAUGAAACUAUAUAUCUAUAUAAUAUAAAAGAUGUAGCAGAUGAACACUACUGCUGCACUUGUUUUGUUUGAUGAUUUUUAAUUGUAUUGUAGCUUCCAAUUUUCCUUGUAGGUUUAUUAGGUAGGAAGAGUGGUAUAGAGUUUAUUUUGGAUUUUACUUUUAAUUCUUUUGUUUUUUUACCCCUUGUAUUUUUUAUGUUUUAGAAUGAAGGGAGAUAAGGAGACUUUUAUGUAAUUACACAUUUAACCUCAGUUAAGUAAAAUGUCUUUUCACUUUUACUCUUCAA
Arachis duranensis is the source of this 689-nucleotide long non-coding RNA. RefSeq lists it as uncharacterized. Lineage: Eukaryota; Viridiplantae; Streptophyta; Magnoliopsida; Fabales; Fabaceae. The transcript has 2 exons. The record is from RefSeq and is a predicted model, not a curated record.